UGUGACCAUCCUCGACAUACAAGAGUGUCUCCAAACCCUAGCAUUCUAUUUGUAGUGAAGAGGAAUCACAAGGGAUGUCACCCACUCUUCCAACUGCUUUGCAAAAAGAUGGGAUACAAUUGUCCAAUUUCACCCCAUACCAUCCGCAAGGAGGAGAUCAACAAUUCUCAUGGAGUAAGUGACCUCAAAAAUAAUGAAGGUCGGCCAUCGACUCAAUGGCAGGUCACCAACCCAC
Molecule: long non-coding RNA, 235 nt
Filed under: Elaeis guineensis (African oil palm)
Lineage: Eukaryota; Viridiplantae; Streptophyta; Magnoliopsida; Arecales; Arecaceae
Description: long non-coding RNA (EGUI_LNC021893)
Source: RNAcentral